RNAcentral lists this long non-coding RNA (453 nucleotides) under Mytilus galloprovincialis (Mediterranean mussel). The record is from RNAcentral. Lineage: Eukaryota; Metazoa; Mollusca; Bivalvia; Mytilida; Mytilidae.
GGCGCGUAUAAUUGACGAGUUUUUUUCUGGUGACGGAUGAACUCGAAAGUGGUCUAUUAUCUAUAAUGAACUUGGCCCAGUAGUUUCAGAGGAGAAGAUUUUUGUAAAAGAUUACUAAGAUUUACGAAAAAGGGUUAAAUAAAGGCAACAGUAGUAUACCGCUGUUCAAAACUCAUAAAUCCAUGGACAAAAAACAAAAUCGGGGUAACAAACUAAAACCGAGAGAAACGCAUUAAAUAUAAGAGGAGAACAAUGACACAACACCGAAACGCAACACACACAGAAACGGACCAAGCAUCAGACAAAAUCCCACGAGAAUAACACAUAUAACAUCUAAACCAAAUACAUGAAUUUGGGAUAAACAAGUACCGUGCCACGUCUUAUCUUAAUAUCUCAAAAUUAAGAAAAAACAAACGACACAACAUUAAAAUGCAACACACACAGAAACGAACA